UGUCAGUCUUCUCUGAGGCGGCGCUGGAGAAGGAGCUGUCGGGGUUAAGCAAUGCGCAGCAGAGCAUGCAGACCUGGUCCCUGUGGCUCAUUCAUCACAGCAAGAAGCACCCGGGCCCGUGGUCACCGCAUGGUAGCUGGAGCUGCAGAGAGCAAAGCCAAACAGGAAGCUUACUUUUCUUACCUUGCCAGUGAGACCACCUGGGCAACAUGGUGAAACCUUGUCUCUACUAAAAUACAAAGCAAAAGGAAGGGGCCGGAGCUUACAAAAGAUUUGCACUGGUUAUAGUGGAAGCUUUUAAGCAUGUUUCAAGUGAAACUGAUGAGAGUUGUAAGAAGCACAGAAGCACAUUGGAAGAGUGUUGUCUAUUUGGGAAGAAAGGUCUGUUUAUGCAAAUGAUAAGCCUAGGAAGCAAAUUUAUAAACAGAUAAAGAUGAAUGAAAAUAAAAACUGUUCUUCUCUGGGAUCUGCAAAUGAGCCACCACCACAGACUCUAAAUCUCGUGACAGCAUUACAAAAUCUAGAAAAUGCAGCCUUGGGUGAUGCAGGAGUUCACUAGAGGAUCACUUUUUUGCCUGCUGUAGACCAAGAAGUAUCUCUACUAGAUAAAAUAGCAGAUAAAGAACCUGGAGAAAGGCUUUCUAAAAUGAUGGAUGCAUGUAUGUUGCCAGCAGAUUACAAUGGCAGAAUGGCAGCAGAAAUAGAUGAGGGGAAGCAACUCACUCGAAUGUUAGCAGAUUUUCUUCAUUGUCCAAUGGAAGCCCUCGCAGAGAAAGCAUAAAUUGGAAGAAUACAAGUGCAAGUGAGCCAGAGUUUCCCUGGUGUGCAAAGAAUUCAGGUCCCCGAUCCAGAGCCUGUCAGAUUAAUCUUGACUACCCAAUGUCACUGGCAGCCGCAUGCACCUGCCCUUUGCAGGGACAUCUACAGUGAAGAU
This 934-nucleotide long non-coding RNA is filed under the name Homo sapiens (human). RNAcentral describes it as "non-protein coding lnc-CNEP1R1-2:1". Lineage: Eukaryota; Metazoa; Chordata; Mammalia; Primates; Hominidae. The record is from RNAcentral.